GGCGAACGGGUGAGUAACACGUGGGUAAUCUGCCCUGCACUCUGGGAUAAGCCUGGGAAACUGGGUCUAAUACUGGAUAUGACCUUUCUCCUUAUGGGGUUUGGUGGAAAGUUUUUCGGUGUAGGAUGAGCCCGCGGCCUAUCAGCUUGUCGGUGGGGUGAUGGCCUACCAAGGCGACGACGGGUAGCCGGCCUGAGAGGGUGAUCGGCCACAUUGGGACUGAGAUACGGCCCAG
Molecule: ribosomal RNA, 235 nt
Filed under: uncultured Actinomycetales bacterium
Lineage: Bacteria; Bacillati; Actinomycetota; Actinomycetes; Actinomycetales
Description: partial 16S ribosomal RNA
Rfam family: Bacterial small subunit ribosomal RNA
Source: RNAcentral